Molecule: long non-coding RNA, 187 nt
Filed under: Mustela putorius furo (domestic ferret)
Lineage: Eukaryota; Metazoa; Chordata; Mammalia; Carnivora; Mustelidae
Description: lncRNA (ENSMPUG00000024426.1)
Source: RNAcentral
CUCGCUGCCAGAAUCCCUCCUCUGCCAAUGUCCCAGGCCUAGGCAACUCAACAACGCCGCACCAGUCUGAGGUGUACAUCCUCCAGCUGCCAGUCUAUAUUACAAAGUCAGGGGAAAGGAGGAGGAAACUGCUGUCCUGUUAACUAUGGAAAUAUGACCUAAAAUCCAUUGCAAAUCUACUGAGAAG